Molecule: unclassified non-coding RNA, 1337 nt
Filed under: Hevea brasiliensis (rubber tree)
Lineage: Eukaryota; Viridiplantae; Streptophyta; Magnoliopsida; Malpighiales; Euphorbiaceae
Source: RNAcentral
CGAAAUUUCCUGCCCAAACUGUUCCCAUCUCAUCUCGCAAACUACAUUAUUAGAACGAAAAUUAAAACCAUCCUUUAUUCAACCGUGACAGACACAGUAAAUAACUACAACCAUGCAGGAUUCUUCAGCGCAGUCACGACCGCCUUAACCUGCAAGUAGGCUUUGAGGCUGUCGAUGCCCUUCUCCCUUCCUUGCCCGCUCAUCUUGAAUCCACCGAAUGGAAUUGCAGCAUCGAAGACAUCGAAGCAGUUGAUCCAUAUUGUCCCCGCUCGCAGCGCACGGGUUAAGGUGUUUGCAGUAUCGAGGUUUUUGGUGAAGACUCCUGCGGCCAGACCGUAACGGCUGGCGUUCGCCCUCCGUAUCACCUCGUUCAGAUCACUGAAUUUCAGGAUUGAUUGAACAGGUCCAAAUAUUUCCUCUUUGGCUAUUGCCAUUCCAUCCUGAACAUCAGAGAAGACGGUGGGCUGAAUGAAGUAACCUUUGGUGCCUAUUCUAUCACCUCCGGCAACAAGGGUAGCCCCGCUUUCGACGCCAGAAUUAAUGUAUCGCAGAAUCUUGUUGAAUUGCUCCUCAUCAAUCUGAGGGCCUUGCUCAACACCCUUUCUGAAAGGAUCACCAACCACACGGUUCAAAGCACGUGCUUUUGCUUUCUCCACAAACUCUUCAUAUAUAUUUUCAUGCACGAAUGUACGAGAACCAGCACAGCAGCAUUGUCCCUGAUUAAAAAAUAGUGCAAAAUGUGCAAGCUCGACAGCCUGGUCAAUGUCAGCAUCGUCCAUUACAAUCAUAGGAGACUUGCCUCCAAGUUCUAACGUCACUGGCUUAAGGUUACUUUUUGCAGCCAAUCCAAGUACAACCUUGCCAGUUUCAGUUGAUCCAGUAAAAGCAAGCUUGUCCACUUCCAUGUGACUGGCGAGGGCAGCACCAGCAGUAGGUCCAAAUCCUGAGACAACAUUCAGGACACCCUCGGGAAGUCCAGCCUCGUGCAACAACUUGGAAACAUAAAGAGCCGACAAUGGAGUUUGCUCUGCAGUCUUCAUCACGAUCGUGUUUCCACAUGCUAGAGCAGGGCCAACUUUCCAAGCAAACAUAAGAAGCGGGAAAUUCCAUGGAAUAAUCUGGCCCGCAACACCGAUAGGCUCAUGCAAUACUUGAACAUGGUGAGGACCAUCUGCCGGAACGAUUAGCCCAUGUAUCUUGUCCGCCCAACCUGCAUAAUAUCGGAUCAGUCGAGCCAACAUCGGAACUUCAGCCUGUGCAGCCUGCUCAUACGGCUUCCCAUUAUCCCAAGUCUCAAGCGCAGCAAUCUCAUCAUUGUGUUUUUCAAUGAGAUCCGC